GACGAACGCUGGCGGCGUGCUUAACACAUGCAAGUCGAACGGUAAGGCCCUUCGGGGUACACGAGUGGCGAACGGGUGAGUAACACGUGGGUGAUCUGCCCUGCACUUCGGGAUAAGCCUGGGAAACUGGGUCUAAUACCGGAUAGGACCACUGCCUGCAUGGGUGGUGGUGGCAAGCUUUUGCGGUGUGGGAUGGGCCCGCGGCCUGUCAGCUUGCUGGUGGGGUGAUGGCCUACCAAGGCGACGACGGGUAGCCGGCUUGGGAGGGUGACCUGCCCCACUGGGAAUUACAUACGGCCCAGCAUCCUCUGGGAGGAAGCAGUGGGGUAUAUUGCACAAUGGGCCCAAGCCUGAUGCAGCGACGCCGCGUGAGGGAUGACGGCCUUCUGGUUGUAAACCUCUUUCACCAUGGACGAAGCUGCAUCUUUUUGGGUGUGGUGACGGUAGGUGGGGAAGAAGCACCGGCCAACUACGUGCCAGCAGCCGCCGUAA
RNAcentral lists this ribosomal RNA (492 nucleotides) under uncultured bacterium. RNAcentral's name for it is "partial 16S ribosomal RNA". It matches the Rfam family "Bacterial small subunit ribosomal RNA", at positions 28 to 523 of the family's 1533-position model. The record is from RNAcentral.